Molecule: transfer RNA, 77 nt
Filed under: Pseudarthrobacter sp. BIM B-2242
Lineage: Bacteria; Bacillati; Actinomycetota; Actinomycetes; Micrococcales; Micrococcaceae
Description: tRNA-Met
Rfam family: tRNA
About the family: Transfer RNA (tRNA) molecules are approximately 80 nucleotides in length. Their secondary structure includes four short double-helical elements and three loops (D, anti-codon, and T loops). Further hydrogen bonds mediate the characteristic L-shaped molecular structure. tRNAs have two regions of fundamental functional importance: the anti-codon, which is responsible for specific mRNA codon recognition, and the 3' end, to which the tRNAs corresponding amino acid is attached (by aminoacyl-tRNA synthetases). tRNAs cope with the degeneracy of the genetic code in two manners: having more than one tRNA (with a specific anti-codon) for a particular amino acid; and 'wobble' base-pairing, i.e. permitting non-standard base-pairing at the 3rd anti-codon position.
Source: RNAcentral
GCCUGUAUAGCUCAGUUGGUCAGAGCGAAGAACUCAUAAUUCUUAGGUCGCUGGUUCGAGUCCAGUUACAGGUACCA